CUGUCUCUCUCUUAUUUAUUUAGACAGAGAGAGAAAGAGAAAGACUACAGCACUGACGCUUCCUUCAGUGCAGUGCACUAUCCAAAUGGCCUAUUUUACUGGCCUGGGGAGUGCACCUGCAUUUCUGAGGUCUGAGAAGCUGUUUACAACCCCCCAAGCCCCAGGUGUCUGAACUAGGAUGAAAACAGUGCCUAUGAUCUGAGGGAGGAAAGAGGGCAACUGGGGAGAUGGUAUAAUAGUUCUACAAAAGACUUUCAUGCUUGAGGCUCCUGGGUCUCAGAUUCUAUCCCCAGCACCACCAUGAACUGUUUUCCCUGCUGCCCAGUAUUUUCUUGCAGGGCCUGCAUGGCCACAGGGAUGGUCCCUAACUGUCCUGACUCUAAAGCUCCUCAGCUUAUUCCUCCUUAUUCCCAGCCCCAUUUUGAUCCUCUUGGUCCCUGGUUCUCUCCACCCGCUGCUGUGUUCAAACAUGCUAGGCCUCAUUCCCCCAAGCCAGCUGCUGCUGGGCUGCUCCCUGUACAAACUCCCUUUCCCUGGCCACCCAUGUGGUUUCCUCACAAACUCCUCCCAGUUCUGGACCAAUGGCAUCCUCUCUCAAAGUCUCCCACCCUCAAGCCAAUGCCCCUCUCCCCCUAACAUUCCCAGUCUUAGUUGCUUUUCCUCUUUCUUUGUAUCCUGACAUGCGCACUCAUUUGUUCAUUUACUGUUUCUCUUUACUUCUGCCUCCCCUCACUAAAAAACAAGCUCUGGGAGGAAGUGGAACAUUGUUAAACUCAUGAUGUGGCCCUGACCUGACCAACGGGGGUACAGAAGAUGCUCAAUACCUGUUUCUCUUCUUCCUGCUCCUCCUCUGAGCUUCCUGGAUCAAGGACAGGCAUGCAGAACCCUGUGCUCCAUAUGGCCACUGUCUUUUGUCAAGAUUGACAGCAGGAUGAGGCUAAGGGAAGAAGCUUCACAAAUGGCAGAGCAGUGCUACAGGUCUCUCUUUUUCUCCCUUUCUAUCUUCCCUUCUGUCUCAGUUUUGAUCUCAUAUGAAAAAAUAAAUAUCAAAACUUAAAAAAGAGAAA
Long non-coding RNA from Erinaceus europaeus (western European hedgehog), 1067 nucleotides. RefSeq lists it as uncharacterized. The record is from RefSeq and is a predicted model, not a curated record. Lineage: Eukaryota; Metazoa; Chordata; Mammalia; Eulipotyphla; Erinaceidae. The transcript has 3 exons.